CCUACGGGGUGCAGCAGUGGGGAAUAUUGGACAAUGGGCGAAAGCCUGAUCCAGCCAUGCCGCGUGUGUGAAGAAGGCCUUCGGGUUGUAAAGCACUUUCAGUGGGGAAGAAAGCCUUGGGGCUAAUACCCUCGAGGAAGGACAUCACCCACAGAAGAAGCACCGGCUAACUCCGUGCCAGCAGCCGCGGUAAUACGGAGGGUGCGAGCGUUAAUCGGAAUUACUGGGCGUAAAGCGCGCGUAGGCGGUCUGAUAAGCCGGUUGUGAAAGCCCCGGGCUCAACCUGGGAACGGCAUCCGGAACUGUCAGGAUAGAGUGCAGGAGAGGAAGGUAGAAUUCCCGGUGUAGCGGUGAAAUGCGUAGAGAUCGGGAGGAAUACCAGUGGCGAAGGCGGCCUUCUGGACUGACACUGACGCUGAGGUGCGAAAGCGUGGGUAGCAAACAGGAUUAGAUACCCGUGUAGUC
RNAcentral lists this ribosomal RNA (465 nucleotides) under Vreelandella stevensii. RNAcentral's name for it is "partial 16S ribosomal RNA". It matches the Rfam family "Bacterial small subunit ribosomal RNA", at positions 338 to 795 of the family's 1533-position model. Lineage: Bacteria; Pseudomonadati; Pseudomonadota; Gammaproteobacteria; Oceanospirillales; Halomonadaceae. The record is from RNAcentral.